Long non-coding RNA from Artibeus jamaicensis (Jamaican fruit-eating bat), 4010 nucleotides. RefSeq lists it as uncharacterized. The record is from RefSeq and is a predicted model, not a curated record. The transcript has 3 exons. Lineage: Eukaryota; Metazoa; Chordata; Mammalia; Chiroptera; Phyllostomidae.
GAGGGCGGGUCGGACGGGAACAGCGCCGGCGCCGCAGUCUGCGUCCUCCGGUGCCAGGUUUCUGCGGGGAUUGCACCCGCGUCUGUCUUCCGCCGCCUGCCUGACUUCGCUUCGUGAGGCAGACCUCGGGCGGCCUUGAGGGGAGGCGGCGGCGGGAGAUGCGCGCACCGAGCGGGCUCGCAGCGGUCGUUCGCCCCGCCCCCGACCCCGCGCAAGCGGGAGGUCCGCCGCACGACCCGCGGAGUUCGGUUUCUCGAGCGGAAGCGCGUCGGCAGGAGCCGAGCUCGCGACCCAAGUAUGCCGAGCGGGGAGUGGCGUCUCCGACGGUCGUGGGCUUGGCUCGUGGUAGCUCUCCAUUGGGUCGCUCAGAAACAUGGAAGCCUCACAGCGCUCGUGGAAGGUCCGGAGGCCAGAAGUCCAGCAUCGGUGUCACUGGGCUGAAACCAAGGUGCUGGCAGGACCCUGUUCCUUCUGGAGACUCUAAGGCACAAGCCCUCCCUGCCUCUUCCAGAUUCUGGUGGCUGCUGCCAUUCCUUAGCUUGUGGCCACAUCCCUCCAGUCUCUGUGAUCACAUUGCCUUCUCUCUGAGUGUUAACUCUUCCCUCUGUCUCUUUCUUAUAAGGGCAUUUGGGCUGGCAUUUAGCUAUCUCCCCCCCCCCCCAAAAAAAAACACAAAGAUAAUCUCUCCAUCUCAAAAUCUUUAACUUAAUCACAUCUGCAAAGACGUGAUUAAGGUCAUGACACAGGAUCCAGGGGUUAGGACCUGACAUCUUUGGAGGCGGGUAUUCAAACUACUGCAGGUGAGACAGGUUUCCUGGGCAGGCCUUAGCAGUGGGCAGGGGGGAGGGGGGUCUUUGAAAAGCAUAUGAUACAAAAGAAGGGGAGGGAACGGGACUGGGAAGUGGUGAAAUGUUAGUUUAGAUGGCUGUACAAAUGGGUUAUGACGUCACCUUCAUGGUGAACACCAGAUGAAGCACUUGGGCCCAGAACUGGAGGGGGCGUGGCUCACUGGUCGUCCUGUCUAGAAUGGGGCCAGGCCCAGUGUUCUCACAAUUGAGAAGCCCUCUUUAAACCUCAGUGUCAAAAAAGGUGGGUUCCAAGGUGAAGUGCCUCCCCACCCAGAAGCAAUGCUCUGCUGUGCGGUUCCCUUUCUUAGAAGGGCCUGGUCACCUCGUCCAGUUUCCUCACCACCCUGGUCCUCUAAGACCAAAGACACCUGCGAGUCCUCCAGUUCGGGCGACAGUCGCCACUGGCAUUAACCAGAUUGCACCAACCGCUCCGUGCCAGUGUCUAGCAGCCCUUUUGCCCUGAGCAAGACUGUGUGUGCCUAUGUGUACGUGUGAUAGCAGUAGUAACUGGGUGUUGGAUCACAGACUGGACAGUAAGAAAAUGGACUCACAUGGGAUUUCUUAGGUAGUAAUCGGUCAGUUGCUAUCAUGAAAGGAGGUGAGGAAUACAAUUUUUUACAUAUCCUUUAAAAUCUGCACUGAGGGAUUCCUUGUGUAAAGGUAGACCCACCUUCCCAAGGCCAAGAAAUGGAGUGAAGAUCGACAGCGACUGAGGAACAAGUGUCUGCCCUCGACUGUGAUUCAACCCACACGCCACCAUGCUUUUCAGGAAUAGUGAGUCCCACGGUAUGAACCAGAAACCGAGGCUCAUUAAGGCGAGGAGGUGGAGAACGGGGACUGGAACCAGGUCUGACUGCAAAGUCCUUGACCUUUCAAAUAGCUGCUCUGAAAGGAUUUCUGAAGUACUGGGUAGAAAUUUGCUGACUGGUCAGUCUUUUGUCUUCUUUUCUCCUAGUGGGGAGGGGGGAAUCCGGGAAAGGAGGAGGCGUGUGCAGGUGGGGAUAAGCCAGAAGCAGGGAUUCAUACUCCACAGCCCGUUCGCUGACUGAGCCGGAGGACGGCUACCUACUCCAUGAAGAGAACGCCCCCGCCCCCUGCCCUCCCGCCCUGGGACUCCGUGGAUCUCCGUUGAUUUGGUGUUCCAUCUGGUUCCCUGAUAUCUGUGAAAUUGCUGCCUAGAAACAGACACCCUGUUCCCUUGAUGCUUCCUGCUCCCCUAAGGCUGACCAAUUACUGUCAACGUUCCCGCACUUCGGAAAGUGACAGGUGGUGCUUACCAGUGGCCCAGAACCACAGUAAUGGCAUCAGAGGUUCGACCAAGUCUGCAUAUGUAAUUCAGCUGACAUACCAGUUGCUGUCAGAAGUCUAGAAUUUUCGAAAUAACAAUGGAAAUAUUCCCAAAAAUUUUUGACUUAAAAAAAGAACAAGUACAUUUCAAAAAGAAGAUGUUUGGAGUCUGUGAUAGGGAAGGAAGGAUGGAAAAAGUGUUUGGGCAUCCUUCUGAAAUCUGAUUUCCUUCAGAUCUGCUUUCCCCUGCAAUCAGCGGGCUGGAGUGGUGGCUUCAACAUCACAGUGCACUCGUUAAGACAGUAUUACCACUGCUACCAGCAGUGGAAUAACUAUUUGAAAUUAGGCCCUGUGCUCUUUCUCCUGAGAUUGAAGUUAGUGCAUCAGAAUUCCAUAUUGAAAGUAAAAUCCUCUCCCAGUACUGCAAGAAAGGGGGCCCUCACUGCCUGCAUUGCCCUUCACUGGCCAGCAGAAUGAGGGACCUGUUUUGGGCUCGGGUGCCAAAAAAAUUCUAAGUGGUUACCGAGACAAUUAUGCUAUAAUACCAACCAUUAAUUGUUUCAACCAGUCUAAACUAACCAAGGCAUUAAGGCAUGUGGUUGCGGUCCUUUGCUAUAGCAGUACAGAGAACACCAGCCGUGUGUGCAAGGCGCCGUGUUGUCGAGUGUAAGCUUCCCGUACAGCACCAGUCCUUGUUCUCUGCCAUUUACCUGUACUCCUUUCCACAGUGCCACGGGCUGGGGGCUUAAACAAGAGGCUUUUAUUUAUUUUCUCACAGUUCUGGAAGCCAGCGGUCCACAGUCACGGGGUCAGUAGGGGUCAGAGCCUGGCUCUGAAGGCUCCUGGUGAGACUCCUUCCGACCCUGUCCAGCUCCAGUGGCCGUCAGCACCGCUGGGUGUCCUCGGCUUCUGACUGCAUCACUCCAAUCUCUGCCCCUGUAUUCACGUGGCUUUCUCCCUGUGUCUCCAUAUAAGGACGUCAGACAUUAGAUGAGAGACCACCCUACUCUAGUGUGACUUCAUAUGAACUUGAUGGCAUCUGUAAAGACCCCAAUUCCAAAUAAGGUCACAGUUGUGGGUAUCAGGGAGUCAAACUCCAAUAUAUCUUUUUGGGGAGUACACUCAACCCACAGCAGUGUCUCUUAUGGAAACCUCUAAAAAUUGUGGGGAGGUAUUUUCAUUUCAGGCACUUGAAAUUACAGAUUUUUAAAAAGUGUAUUUUGUAAAUGAAGAUUGAGUGACAACUGAAGCGAUGUUAGAAUGGUCACUGAGUGUCAGCCACAGCUGGGCGAGGCUUCAUUAACAGAUUUGGGAGAGUGGAGAAAGUAAAGCCCUCUGUAUGUGCAUAGGAACUUCCUGCAUUUUGAUUUUAUGGAAAUUAAUCAUUCAUUUGUUUGUUCAACAAAUACUUGCUGCAUCCUAAGAUCCAUGAAAGAGAAAAUGGACCUGCCAUCCUCUCCUCGGAAUUACUGGUCACUGUCAACUGGUGGGAUGCUAUUUUUCCAUGUGCCUCUCCCAACUCUUCAUCUAACCCUGGUCCGCCUUUAGCCCUGGCUUGAGGUGCACCCUGACCUUUUUCUCCCCUAAGUCUCCCAUUUUUCCAUUCCAAAUCAGGGUGGCCUCCCAUGUCCUCAUCCCCAUACCCAGGAUGGAGACACGGGUGGUUUGCGUUUCUGUUUGUGUCUGGCCUGUGGCAGGACCUGUGGGCUCCUCCGCGCUUCCAUCCCCACCCGGGGUGGGCAGGACAGUGGUCUCACAUUGUUCUUUGGAUGUAGAGGUGAGGAUGGACGGUACCCAUGGGUGACCCAGGCAUCAAUUAAAUUCAAAACCACUGUGAAGGGGAAAAAAAGCCAAUGUCAUGUGAAUCACAGAACA